UUACUCCGACUGCUUUCUGGUCUGGAAGAAUUGUAUGCCAGUCUCUGGCAUGCUCACCAGCCUUAAAUAAUACUAAGUGAAAAUAAGAGGUGGUGGAUGGGCUGCUUUCCUGCGCAACAGCUGGAAAUCUGCAUAGAAGCACAGAGUAAAAGACAAGGAAUCUUCAUGCAUCUCAAGAAGACCUGCACUCCAAGCAAGACUUCACUCUGACUGCCAAGGUAAAAAGAAAAUCCCAAGCCACACCUCAAGCUUUUUAGAACAGAAUCAAUGAGUUAAAAGCAAUAUUGCACGAU
This is a long non-coding RNA of Fukomys damarensis (Damara mole-rat), 293 nucleotides long. RefSeq lists it as uncharacterized. Lineage: Eukaryota; Metazoa; Chordata; Mammalia; Rodentia; Bathyergidae. The record is from RefSeq and is a predicted model, not a curated record. The transcript has 3 exons.